UGGGGAAUAUUGGACAAUGGGGGGAACCCUGAUCCAGCCAUGCCGCGUGUGUGAAUAAGGCCUUAUGGUUGUAAAGCACUUUAAGCGAGGAGGAGGGUACUGGUAUUAAUACUACCAGCUACUGGACGUUACUCGCAGAAUAAGCACCGGCUAACUCUGUGCCAGCAGCCGCGGUAAUACAGAGGGUGCGAGCGUUAAUCGGAUUUACUGGGCGUAAAGCGUGCGUAGGCGGCUAAUUGAGUCGGAUGUGAAAUCCCCGAGCUUAACUUGGGAAUUGCAUUCGAUACUGGUUAGCUAGAGUGUGGGAGAGGAUGGUAGAAUUCCAGGUGUAGCGGUGAAAUGCGUAGAGAUCUGGAGGAAUACCGAUGGCGAAGGCAGCCAUCUGGCCUAACACUGACGCUGAGGUACGAAAGCAUGGGGAGCAAACAGG
This 430-nucleotide ribosomal RNA is filed under the name Pseudomonadota bacterium. RNAcentral describes it as "Proteobacteria bacterium partial 16S ribosomal RNA". It matches the Rfam family "Bacterial small subunit ribosomal RNA", at positions 355 to 776 of the family's 1533-position model. The record is from RNAcentral. Lineage: Bacteria; Pseudomonadati; Pseudomonadota.